UCGAGAAUUUUUCACAAUGGGCGCAAGCCUGAUGGAGCGACGCCGCGUGGGGGAUGAAUGGCUUCGGCCCGUAAACCCCUGUCAUUUGCGAACAAAUUGGUUCAAUUAACACCUGAACCAUUGAUAGUAGCGAAAGAGGAAGCCACGGCUAACUACGUGCCAGCAGCCGCGGUAAUACGUAGGUGGCAAGCGUUGUCCGGAUUUACUGGGCGUAAAGAGCGCGCAGGCGGUCGUGCAAGUCGCGUGUGAAAGCCCCCGGCUCAACUGGGGAGGGUCACGCGAUACUGCUCGACUUGAAGGCAGGAGAGGGAAGUGGAAUUCCCGGUGUAGUGGUGAAAUGCGUAGAUAUCGGGAGGAACACCAGUGGCGAAGGCGACUUCCUGGCCUGUUUUUGACGCUGAGGCGCGAAAGCUAGGGUAGCAAA
This 424-nucleotide ribosomal RNA is filed under the name uncultured bacterium. RNAcentral describes it as "bacterial SSU rRNA". It matches the Rfam family "Bacterial small subunit ribosomal RNA", at positions 355 to 772 of the family's 1533-position model. The record is from RNAcentral.